AGUGGCGGACGGGUGAGUAAUGUCUGGGAAACUGCCUGAUGGAGGGGGAUAACUACUGGAAACGGUAGCUAAUACCGCAUACCAUCGGAUGUGCCCAGAUGGGAUUAGCUAGUAGGUGGGGUAAAGGCUCACCUAGGCGACGAUCCCUAGCUGGUCUGAGAGGAUGACCAGCCACACUGGAACUGAGACACGGUCCAGACUCCUACGGGAGGCAGCAGUGGGGAAUAUUGCACAAUGGGCGCAAGCCUGAUGCAGCCAUGCCGCGUGUAUGAAGAAGGCCUUCGGGUUGUAAAGUACUUUCAGCGGGGAGGCGUUACCCGCAGAAGAAGCACCGGCUAACUCCGUGCCAGCAGCCGCGGUAAUACGGAGGGUGCAAGCGUUAAUCGGAAUUACUGGGCGUAAAGCGCACGCAGGCGGUUUGUUAAGUCAGAUGUGAAAUCCCCGGGCUCAACCUGGGAACUGCAUCUGAUACUGGCAAGCUUGAGUCUCGUAGAGGGGGGUAGAAUUCCAGGUGUAGCGGUGAAAUGCGUAGAGAUCUGGAGGAAUACCGGUGGCG
RNAcentral lists this ribosomal RNA (556 nucleotides) under uncultured bacterium. RNAcentral's name for it is "bacterial SSU rRNA". It matches the Rfam family "Bacterial small subunit ribosomal RNA", at positions 94 to 717 of the family's 1533-position model. The record is from RNAcentral.